Molecule: ribosomal RNA, 372 nt
Filed under: uncultured bacterium
Lineage: Bacteria
Description: bacterial SSU rRNA
Rfam family: Bacterial small subunit ribosomal RNA
Source: RNAcentral
UACGGAGGAUGCAAGCGUUAUCCGGAUUUAUUGGGUUUAAAGGGUGCGCAGGCGGAACGGUAAGUCAGUGGUGAAAGCCUACAGCUCAACUGUAGAAUUGCCAUUGAUACUGUCGUUCUUGAGUAUAGUUGGAGUGUGCGGAAUGUAUCAUGUAGCGGUGAAAUGCUUAGAUAUGAUACAGAACACCAAUCGCGAAGGCAGCUCACUAAGCUAUAACUGACGCUCAGGCACGAAAGCGUGGGGAUCAAACAGGAUUAGAGACCCUGGUAGUCCACGCCCUAAACUAUGAUCACUCGAUGUUGGCGAUAUACAGUCAGCGUCUGAGCGAAAGCAUUAAGUGAUCCACCUGGGGAGUACGAUCGCAAGGUUGAA